Molecule: ribosomal RNA, 253 nt
Filed under: uncultured bacterium
Lineage: Bacteria
Description: partial 16S ribosomal RNA
Rfam family: Bacterial small subunit ribosomal RNA
Source: RNAcentral
UACGUAGGGUGCAAGCGUUGUCCGGAAUUAUUGGGCGUAAAGAGCUCGUAGGCGGUUUGUCGCGUCUGCUGUGAAAUCUCCACGCUUAACGUGGAGCGUGCGGUCGAUACGGGCAGACUUGAGUUCGGUAGGGGAGACUGGAACUCCUGGUGUAGCGGUGAAAUGCGCAGAUAUCAGGAGGAACACCGGUGGCGAAGGCGGGUCUCUGGGCCGAUACUGACGCUGAGGAGCGAAAGCGUGGGGAGCGAGCAGG